UUCCAGACUCCUACGGGAGGCAGCAGUGGGGAAUAUUGCACAAUGGGGGAAACCCUGAUGCAGCGACGCCGCGUGAGUGAAGAAGUAUUUCGGUAUGUAAAGCUCUAUCAGCAGGGAAGAAAAUGACGGUACCUGACUAAGAAGCCCCGGCUAACUACGUGCCAGCAGCCGCGGUAAUACGUAGGGGGCAAGCGUUAUCCGGAUUUACUGGGUGUAAAGGGGGCGCAGACGGCGAUGCAAGCCAGGAGUGAAAGCCCGGGGCCCAACCCCGGGACUGCUCUUGGAACUGCGUGGCUGGAGUGCAGGAGGGGCAGGCGGAAUUCCUGGUGUAGCGGUGAAAUGCGUAGAUAUCAGGAGGAACACCGGUGGCGAAGGCGGCCUGCUGGACUGCAACUGACGUUGAGGCCCGAAAGCGUGGGGAGCAAACAGGAUUAGAUACCCCCGUA
RNAcentral lists this ribosomal RNA (446 nucleotides) under uncultured bacterium. RNAcentral's name for it is "bacterial SSU rRNA". It matches the Rfam family "Bacterial small subunit ribosomal RNA", at positions 329 to 792 of the family's 1533-position model. The record is from RNAcentral.